AACGCGAAGAACCUUACCUGGCCUUGACAUGCACGGAAUUUAGCAGAGAUGCCUUAGUGCCUUCGGGAACCGUGAGACAGGUGCUGCAUGGCUGUCGUCAGCUCGUGUUGUGAAAUGUUGGGUUAAGUCCCGCAACGAGCGCAACCCUUAUCCUUUGUUGCCAGCACGUAAAGGUGGGAACUCAAAGGAGACUGCCGGUGAUAAACCGGAGGAAGGUGGGGAUGACGUCAAGUCAUCAUGGCCCUUACGGCCAGGGCUACACACGUGCUACAAUGGCGCAUACAAAGAGAAGCGACCUCGCGAGAGCAAGCGGACCUCAUAAAGUGCGUCGUAGUUCGGAUCGGAGUCUGCAACUCGACUCCGUGAAGUCGGAAUCGCUAGUAAUCGUAGAUCAGAAUGCUACGG
This 405-nucleotide ribosomal RNA is filed under the name Candidatus Erwinia dacicola. Its description in RNAcentral is "bacterial SSU rRNA". It matches the Rfam family "Bacterial small subunit ribosomal RNA", at positions 958 to 1362 of the family's 1533-position model. The record is from RNAcentral. Lineage: Bacteria; Pseudomonadati; Pseudomonadota; Gammaproteobacteria; Enterobacterales; Erwiniaceae.